RNAcentral lists this ribosomal RNA (253 nucleotides) under uncultured bacterium. RNAcentral describes it as "partial 16S ribosomal RNA". It matches the Rfam family "Bacterial small subunit ribosomal RNA", at positions 524 to 776 of the family's 1533-position model. The record is from RNAcentral.
UACAGAGAGUGCGAGCGUUAAUCGGAAUUACUGGGCGUAAAGCGUGCGUAGACGGUUAUUUAAGUCGGAUGUGAAAGCCCCGGGCUCAACCUGGGAAUGGCGUUUGAAACUACGGAGCUGGAGUGUGGCAGAGGGAGGUAGAAUUCCACGUGUAGCGGUGAAAUGCGUAGAUAUGUGGAGGAAUACCGAUGGCGAAGGCAGCCUCCUGGGCCAACACUGACGCUCAUGCACGAAAGCGUGGGGAGCAAACAGG